RNAcentral lists this unclassified non-coding RNA (342 nucleotides) under uncultured fungus. Its description in RNAcentral is "partial contains 5.8S ribosomal RNA and internal transcribed spacer 2". The stretch from base 1 to 133 matches the Rfam family "5.8S ribosomal RNA", at positions 22 to 154 of the family's 154-position model. Lineage: Eukaryota; Fungi. The record is from RNAcentral.
UGGCUCUCGCAUCGAUGAAGAACGCAGCGAAAUGCGAUAAGUAAUGUGAAUUGCAGAAUUCAGUGAAUCAUCGAAUCUUUGAACGCAACUUGCGCCCUCUGGUAUUCCGGAGGGCAUGCCUGUUUGAGUGUCAUGUAGACUCAACCCCUGAGGGUCUUUUGUAACCUCUUGGGAUUGGACCUGGGCGUCUGCCGCUUCUUGCUGGCUCGCCUCAAAUGUAUUAGUGGGGACCGAACCCCGUCGGGAGUAAUAAGUUUUCUCUCAGACACGGGCGAGGUUGGAACCGCUUACAACACCCAUCUCUAUGACUCUGACCUCAAAUCAGGUAGGACUACCCGCUGA